This 478-nucleotide ribosomal RNA is filed under the name uncultured bacterium. RNAcentral's name for it is "partial 16S ribosomal RNA". It matches the Rfam family "Bacterial small subunit ribosomal RNA", at positions 28 to 507 of the family's 1533-position model. The record is from RNAcentral.
GAUGAACGCUGGCGGCGUGCUUAACACAUGCAAGUCGAACGAGAAGUGGAGACGGAAACCUUCGGGCGGAAGACUUUAUUUCGAGUGGCGGACGGGUGAGUAACGCGUGGGUAACCUGCCUCAUACAGGGGGAUAACAGUUGGAAACGACUGUUAAUACCGCAUAAGACCACAGCACCGCAUGGUGCGGGGGUAAAAACUCCGGUGGUAUGAGAUGGACCCGCGUUCGAUUAGCCAGUUGGCGGGGUAACGGCCCACCAAAGCGACGAUCGAUAGCCGAUCUGAGAGGAUGACCGGCCACAUUGGGACUGAGACACGGCCCAAACUCCUACGGGAGGCAGCAGUGGGGAAUAUUGCACAAUGGGGGAACCCCUGAUGCAGCGACGCCGCGUGAGUGAAGAAGUAUUUCGGUAUGUAAAGCUCUAUCAGCAGGGAAGAAAAUGACGGUACCUGAGUAAGAAGCCCCGGCUAACUACGUG